GAUGAACGCUGGCGGCGUGCCUAAUACAUGCAAGUCGAGCGGACAGACAAGGAGCUUGCUCCUCUGACGUUGGCGGCGGACGGGUGAGUAACACGUGGAUCACCUUCCUCUAUUACUGGGAUGACUUCGUGAAGCCGGUGCUACUACCGGCUAAUAUAUUGAACCGCAUGGAUCAAUAGUGAAUGACGCUUUUGCUGUCUCUUAUAGAUGAAUCCGCGCCGCAUUAGCUAGUUGGUAAGGUAACGGCUUACCAAGGCAACGAUGCGUAGCCGACCUGAGAGGGUGAUCGGCCACACUGGAACUGAGACACGGUCCAGACUCCUACGGGAGGCAGCAGUAGGGAAUCUUCCGCAAUGGGCGAAAGCCUGACGGAGCAACGCCGCGUGAGUGAUGAAGGUCUUCGGAUCGUAAAGCUCUGUUAUUAGGGAAGAACAAAUGUGUAAUUAACUAUGCACGUCUUGACGGUACCCAAUCAGAAAGCCACGGCUAACUACGUG
RNAcentral lists this ribosomal RNA (497 nucleotides) under uncultured bacterium. RNAcentral describes it as "partial 16S ribosomal RNA". It matches the Rfam family "Bacterial small subunit ribosomal RNA", at positions 28 to 507 of the family's 1533-position model. The record is from RNAcentral.